GAUGAACGCUGGCGGCGUGCCUAAUACAUGCAAGUCGAGCGAACAGACGAGGAGCUUGCUCCUCUGACGUUAGCGGCGGACGGGUGAGUAACACGUGGAUAACCUACCUAUAAGACUGGGAUAACUUCGGGAAACCGGAGCUAAUACCGGAUAAUAUAUUGAACCGCAUGGUUCAAUAGUGAAAGACGGUUUUGCUGUCACUUCUAGAUGGAUCCGCGCCGCAUUAGCUAGUUGGUAAGGUCACGGCUUACCAAGGCAACGAUGCGUAGCCGACCUGAGAGGGUGAUCGGCCACACUGGAACUGAGACACGGUCCAGACUCCUACGGGAGGCAGCAGUAGGGAAUCUUCCGCAAUGGGCGAAAGCCUGACGGAGCAACGCCGCGUGAGUGAUGAAGGUCUUCGGAUCGUAAAACUCUGUUAUUAGGGAAGAACAAAUGUGUAAGUAACUAUGCACGUCUUGACGGUACCUAAUCAGAAAGCCACGGCUAACUACGUG
RNAcentral lists this ribosomal RNA (497 nucleotides) under uncultured bacterium. RNAcentral describes it as "partial 16S ribosomal RNA". It matches the Rfam family "Bacterial small subunit ribosomal RNA", at positions 28 to 507 of the family's 1533-position model. The record is from RNAcentral.